This 26-nucleotide non-coding RNA is filed under the name Rattus norvegicus (Norway rat). Lineage: Eukaryota; Metazoa; Chordata; Mammalia; Rodentia; Muridae. The record is from RNAcentral.
UGCUGUCAGUGUGGCUCUGCCAGUCC